UGAGAAGCUGCGAAGAUGGCGGAGUAAGGCGUGCCGCUGCAAACUGGCCUCUGGGCCGGGGGCGAGCAGCCCCCGGGAGGCCGAGUGCAUCUGUUGGACCGUGCGAGGAGAAGAAAAAAAAUAUCGGCCAGAGGAGAGGAACUAACCGAACAUUCUUCCUCCCUACCUUAUAGAGGGGAGUGGUCAUCUACACUAAAGCAAAGUGUUAGGCGCGUCCGUGCGAAGAGACCACCAAACAGGCUUUGUGUUCCUUAUCACAGGAAGAAAAUUUUCCUUGACCUUUAGGUGCUUUUAUAUUCAUCUCAAAAACAAAAUUCUGAACUCAGGACUUGGCAAACAGAGUUUUGCUCUUGUCGCCCAGGCUGAAGUGCAAUGGCGCAAUCUCAGCUCACUGCAACCUCCGCCUCCCGGGUUCAAGCGAUUCUCCUGCCUCAGCCUCCUGAGUAGCUGACAUUAUAGGCACCUGCCACCACGCCCAGCUAAUUUUUGUAUUUUUAGUAGAGAUGGGGUUUCACCAUAUUGGGCAGGCUCGUCUUGAACUCCUGACCUCGUGAUCCGCCCACCUUAGCCUCCCAAAAUGCUGAGAUUGGAGGUGUGAGCCACCGCGCCUGGCCAGUGUGUCCUUUCUUAAUUGACAGUGACAUUAUAUCUGCAAAAUAGGCUUCAUACCUACUGUGUUAGUUUUAGUUUCCUAGGCCUGCUGUAACAAAGCACCACAAAUUGGGUAGCUUAGAAUAACAGAAAUUGUUUGAUAGUUAUAAAUAAAGGUCAGAUGUCUAAAACCAAAGUGUUGGCAGGGCCGUCCCUCUGAAGGCACUGAAAAAAAAAUUUCCAGUCCUUCUAAUUUCUUGUGGUUCCUUAACUUGUGGCAGCAUAACUCCAGUCUUCACAUGAAGUUCUUCCUGUGUGUGUAUCUGAGUCCUAAUAUAAGGAGACUAGUCAUAUUGGAUUGGGGUCCAUCCUGCUCUGUUAAUGACCUCAUCUUAGCUGCUGACAUCUGUAAUGACUCUAUUACCAAAUAAGGUCACAGUAUGAGGUAGUAGGGGCUAGGACUUUUAACAUACGAAUAUUGGGAGGACACAGUUCAACCCAUUAACACCUACUUAUACCUUGAUUAAUUAUAUGAAAACCAUUCAGUGUACAACUGCUUCAAGGAUUGAAACCUUGUAUGUAGUCCCAGCUACUCUGGAAACUGAGGUAGUAGGAUUGCUUGAGGCCUGAAGUUCAAGGCUGCAGUAUGCUGAUUGUGCCUGUGAAUAGCCACUGCACCCCAGCUUGGGCAGCAUCAGAAUUAUAGAGACAGAAAGUAGAAUGAUGGUUGCCAGGGGUUGCAGGAAGGGCAGCGAGAGGGAAUUACUGUGUAAUGUGUACAAGGUUUCAGUUUGGGAAGAAGAAAUGAGUCCUGGAGAUGGAUUACGGUGAUGGUUGCACAGCAGUAUGAAUGUACUUAAUACUACUGAAUUGUAUACUCGAAAGGGUUAAUAUGGUGAAUUUUAUGUGUAUUUUAUCACAAUAAAAACAUUGAAAAAUAAAACAAUCUUUGUAUGUAUAUGUAUAUAUGUGUGUGUAUAUAUGAUAUAUAUGAUUGAUAUAUAUAUAUCAGUAGUAAGAAAGGGAAUAAAAACUGAUGAGGCAAAAUGCCCUUUAGAGUGAAGAAGGCCUUACCACUUGGAUUUACAACUUUAAGUCCAAGUAGACAAUAAUAGAAACUUGACAUUGGUAUAGCACAAUAUUUAUAGUAAUCUAAAUAUCC
RNAcentral lists this long non-coding RNA (1753 nucleotides) under Homo sapiens (human). Its description in RNAcentral is "HSALNT0380940". Lineage: Eukaryota; Metazoa; Chordata; Mammalia; Primates; Hominidae. The record is from RNAcentral.